UACGGAGGGGGCUAGCGUUGUUCGGAAUUACUGGGCGUAAAGCGCACGUAGGCGGACGGAGAAGUCAGAGGUGAAAUCCCAGGGCUCAACCUUGGAACUGCCUUUGAAACUUUCUGUCUUGAGGUCGAGAGAGGUGAGUGGAAUUCCGAGUGUAGAGGUGAAAUUCGUAGAUAUUCGGAGGAACACCAGUGGCGAAGGCGGCUCACUGGCUCGAUACUGACGCUGAGGUGCGAAAGCGUGGGGAGCAAAC
RNAcentral lists this ribosomal RNA (250 nucleotides) under uncultured bacterium. RNAcentral's name for it is "partial 16S ribosomal RNA". It matches the Rfam family "Bacterial small subunit ribosomal RNA", at positions 524 to 773 of the family's 1533-position model. The record is from RNAcentral.